GCCUGGGUGGCUCAGUUGGUUGAGCGUCCAGCUUCAGCUCAGGUCAUGAUCUCACAGUUCGUGGGUUCAAGCCCCACAUCAGGCU
This 85-nucleotide transfer RNA is filed under the name Felis catus (domestic cat). It matches the Rfam family "tRNA". Rfam says of the family: Transfer RNA (tRNA) molecules are approximately 80 nucleotides in length. Their secondary structure includes four short double-helical elements and three loops (D, anti-codon, and T loops). The record is from Rfam by way of RNAcentral. Lineage: Eukaryota; Metazoa; Chordata; Mammalia; Carnivora; Felidae.